This 184-nucleotide ribosomal RNA is filed under the name Croton megistocarpus. Its description in RNAcentral is "5.8S ribosomal RNA". The stretch from base 6 to 161 matches the Rfam family "5.8S ribosomal RNA". From Rfam's summary of the family: 5.8S ribosomal RNA (5.8S rRNA) is a component of the large subunit of the eukaryotic ribosome. It is transcribed by RNA polymerase I as part of the 45S precursor that also contains 18S and 28S rRNA. Functionally, it is thought that 5.8S rRNA may be involved in ribosome translocation. The record is from RNAcentral. Lineage: Eukaryota; Viridiplantae; Streptophyta; Magnoliopsida; Malpighiales; Euphorbiaceae.
AAAAUGACUCUCGGCAACGGAUAUCUCGGCUCUCGCAUCGAUGAAGAACGCAGCGAAAUGCGAUACUUGGUGUGAAUUGCAGAAUCCCGCGAACCAUCGAGUCUUUGAACGCAAGUUGCGCCCAAAGCCUUCCGGCCGAGGGCACGUCUGCCUGGGUGUCACGCAACAUUGCCCCCUAACCCAU